UACGUAGGGUGCAAGCGUUAAUCGGAAUUACUGGGCGUAAAGCGUGCGCAGGCGGCUUUGCAAGACAGAUGUGAAAUCCCCGGGCUCAACCUGGGAACUGCAUUUGUGACUGCAUGGCUAGAGUACGGUAGAGGGGGAUGGAAUUCCUGGUGUAGCGGUGAAAUGCGCAGAUUUCGAGAAGAACGCUCGCUGCGAAAGCGAAGCUCUGGCCAGAUUCUGACGCUGAGGCACGAAGGCUAGGGGAGCAAACGGG
RNAcentral lists this ribosomal RNA (253 nucleotides) under uncultured bacterium. RNAcentral's name for it is "partial 16S ribosomal RNA". It matches the Rfam family "Bacterial small subunit ribosomal RNA", at positions 524 to 776 of the family's 1533-position model. The record is from RNAcentral.